RNAcentral lists this ribosomal RNA (484 nucleotides) under uncultured bacterium. Its description in RNAcentral is "partial 16S ribosomal RNA". It matches the Rfam family "Bacterial small subunit ribosomal RNA", at positions 30 to 507 of the family's 1533-position model. The record is from RNAcentral.
AUUGAACGCUGGCGGCAGGCCUAACACAUGCAAGUCAAGCGGAUGAAGGGAGCUUGCUCCUGGAUUCAGCGGCGGACGGGUGAGUAAUGCCUAGGAAUCUGCCUGGUAGUGGGGGAUAACGUCCGGAAACGGGCGCUAAUACCGCAUACGUCCUGAGGUAGAAAGUGGGGGAUCUUCGGACCUCACGCUAUCAGAUGAGCCUAGGUCGGAUUAGCUAGUUGGUGGGGUAAAGGCCUACCAAGGCGACGAUCCGUAACUGGUCUGAGAGGAUGAUCAGUCACACUGGAACUGAGACACGGUCCAGACUCCUACGGGAGGCAGCAGUGGGGAAUAUUGGACAAUGGGCGAAAGCCUGAUCCAGCCAUGCCGCGUGUGUGAAGAAGGUCUUCGGAUUGUAAAGCACUUUAAGUUGGGAGGAAGGGCAGUAAGUUAAUACCUUGCUGUUUUGACGUUACCAACAGAAUAAGCACCGGCUAACUUCGUG